GUGGGGAAUUUUGGACAAUGGGCACAAGCCUGAUCCAGCAAUGCCGCGUGCAGGAAGAAGGCCUUCGGGUUGUAAACUGCUUUUGUACGGAACGAAAAGGCUCUGGUUAAUACCUGGGGCUCAUGACGGUACCGUAAGAAUAAGCACCGGCUAACUACGUGCCAGCAGCCGCGGUAAUACGUAGGGUGCAAGCGUUAAUCGGAAUUACUGGGCGUAAAGCGUGCGCAGGCGGUUUUGUAAGACAGACGUGAAAUCCCCGGGCUCAACCUGGGAAUGGCGUUUGUGACUGCAAAGCUGGAGUGCGGCAGAGGGGGAUGGAAUUCCGCGUGUAGCAGUGAAAUGCGUAGAUAUGCGGAGGAACACCGAUGGCGAAGGCAAUCCCCUGGGCCUGCACUGACGCUCAUGCACGAAAGCGUGGGGAGCAAACAGGAUUAGAAACCCUAGUAGUCC
This 450-nucleotide ribosomal RNA is filed under the name uncultured bacterium. RNAcentral describes it as "partial 16S ribosomal RNA". It matches the Rfam family "Bacterial small subunit ribosomal RNA", at positions 354 to 796 of the family's 1533-position model. The record is from RNAcentral.